UACAGAGACCUCAAGCGUUAUCCGGAAUCAUUGGGCGUAAAGCGUACCGAUAGGUGGUUUUACAAGUCAGAAGUGAAAUCUCUCAGCUUAACUGGGAGACUGUCUUUUGAAACUGUAAAACUAGAAGGGCACAGAGGAAGCUGGAACAAACGGUGUAGUAGUGAAAUGCGUUGAUAUCGUUUGGAACACCAAUAGCGUAGGCAGGCUUCUGGGUGCCACUUGACACUGCUAGGACGAAAGCGUGGGUAGCGAAUGGG
RNAcentral lists this ribosomal RNA (257 nucleotides) under uncultured prokaryote. RNAcentral's name for it is "partial 16S ribosomal RNA". It matches the Rfam family "Bacterial small subunit ribosomal RNA", at positions 524 to 776 of the family's 1533-position model. The record is from RNAcentral.